Molecule: transfer RNA, 93 nt
Filed under: Chloroflexota bacterium
Lineage: Bacteria; Bacillati; Chloroflexota
Description: tRNA-Ser
Rfam family: tRNA
About the family: Transfer RNA (tRNA) molecules are approximately 80 nucleotides in length.
Source: RNAcentral
GGAGGGUUCGCAUAGAGGCCUAGUGCGCCCGCCUGCUAAGCGGGUUGGAGGUGAAAAAUCUCCCCGCGGGUUCGAAUCCCGCACCCUCCGCCA